AACAAACGCUGGCGGCGUGUCUUAAGCAUGCAAGUUGAGCGGCAAGGAGGAGAGAUCCUCCCUAGAGCGGCGGACUGGUGAGUAACGCGUGGGUAAUCUAUCGUAGGCAUGGGGAUAGUCACUAGAAAUAGUGGGUAAUACCGAAUACGUUCCAUGAGGGGAGUAUUCAUGGAAGAAAGGGUGCUACGGCACUGGCCUUAGGUGAGCUCGCGUCCCAUUAGCUAGUUGGUGAGGUAAAGGCCCACCAAGGCGAUGAUGGGUAGCCGGCCUGAGAGGGUGUACGGCCACACUGGGACUGAGAUACGGCCCAGACUCCUACGGGAGGCAGCAGCUAAGAAUAUUCCGCAAUGGACGAAAGUCUGACGGAGCGACGCCGCGUGGAUGAAGAAGGCCGAAAGGUUGUAAAGUUCUUUUGCUAGGGGAGAAUAAGUGAGGGAGGAAUGCCUCAUGAUGACAAGGACUAGCGAAUAAGCCCCGGCAACUACGUGCCAGCACG
RNAcentral lists this ribosomal RNA (496 nucleotides) under uncultured bacterium. RNAcentral's name for it is "bacterial SSU rRNA". It matches the Rfam family "Bacterial small subunit ribosomal RNA", at positions 29 to 515 of the family's 1533-position model. The record is from RNAcentral.